RNAcentral lists this ribosomal RNA (327 nucleotides) under uncultured eukaryote. Its description in RNAcentral is "partial 18S ribosomal RNA". It matches the Rfam family "Eukaryotic small subunit ribosomal RNA", at positions 1470 to 1796 of the family's 1831-position model. The record is from RNAcentral.
CCCUUAGAUGUUCUGGGCCGCACACGCGCUACACUGAAGGAGGCAGCGUGUACUCCUGGAUCGAAAGAUUUGGGUAACCCGCGAAUCUCCUUCGUGCUAGGGAUUGAGGUUUGCAAUUAUCCUUCAUGAACGAGGAAUUCCCAGUAAGUGCAAGUCAUAAGCUUGCGCUGACUACGUCCCUGCCCUUUGUACACACCGCCCGUCGCUACUACCGAUUGAAUGAUUUAGUGAGGACUUCGAACUGGGACCGAUGCGGCUUUCGGGCUGCGUCGGUAUUCUGGAAAGAUGUCCAAACUGUAUCAUUUAGAGGAAGUAAAANUCGUANCA